Molecule: ribosomal RNA, 466 nt
Filed under: uncultured bacterium
Lineage: Bacteria
Description: partial 16S ribosomal RNA
Rfam family: Bacterial small subunit ribosomal RNA
Source: RNAcentral
GACGAACGCUGGCGGCGUGCUUAACACAUGCAAGUCGAACGGAAAGGCCCUGCUUUUGUGGGGUGCUCGAGUGGCGGACGGGUGAGUAACACGUGAGUAACCUGCCCUUGACUUUGGGAUAACUUCAGGAAACUGGGGCUAAUACCGGAUAGGAGCUCCUGCUGCAUGGUGGGGGUUGGAAAGUUUCGGCGGUUGGGGAUGGACUCGCGGCUUAUCAGCUUGUUGGUGGGGUAGUGGCUUACCAAGGCUUUGACGGGUAGCCGGCCUGAGGGUGACCGGCCACAUUGGGACUGAGAUACGGCCCAGACUCCUACGGGAGGCAGCAGUGGGGAAUAUUGCACAAUGGGCGGAAGCCUGAUGCAGCAACGCCGCGUGCGGGAUGACGGCCUUCGGGUUGUAAACCGCUUUCGCCUGUGACGAAGCGUGAGUGACGGUAAUGGGUAAAGAAGCACCGGCUAACUACGUG